Molecule: ribosomal RNA, 253 nt
Filed under: uncultured bacterium
Lineage: Bacteria
Description: partial 16S ribosomal RNA
Rfam family: Bacterial small subunit ribosomal RNA
Source: RNAcentral
UACGAAGGGGGCUAGCGUUGCUCGGAAUGACUGGGCGUAAAGGGCGCGUAGGCGGUUGUGUAAGUGGGAUGUGAAAUCCCCCGGCUUACCCGGGGACCUGCAUCCCAAACUGCACAGCUUGAGUAUGGGAGAGGAUGAGGGAAUUCCUGGUGAAGCGGUGAAAUGCGUAGAUAUCAGGAGGAACACCGGUGGCGAAGGCGCUCAUCUGGCCCAAUACUGACGCUGAUGCGCGAAAGCUAGGGGAGCAAACGGG